Molecule: ribosomal RNA, 253 nt
Filed under: uncultured bacterium
Lineage: Bacteria
Description: partial 16S ribosomal RNA
Rfam family: Bacterial small subunit ribosomal RNA
Source: RNAcentral
GACGUAGGGCGCGAGCGUUGUCCGGAAUUAUUGGGCGUAAAGAGCUCGUAGGCGGUUCGUCGCGUCGAAUGUGAAAACCCGGGGCUCAACUCCGGGCUUGCAUUCGAUACGGGCGGGCUAGAGUUCGGUAGGGGAGACUGGAAUUCCUGGUGUAGCGGUGAAAUGCGCAGAUAUCAGGAGGAACACCGGUGGCGAAGGCGGGACUCUGGGCCGAUACUGACGCUGAGGAGCGAAAGCGUGGGGAGCGAACAGG